RNAcentral lists this long non-coding RNA (1041 nucleotides) under Marmota monax (woodchuck). Lineage: Eukaryota; Metazoa; Chordata; Mammalia; Rodentia; Sciuridae. The record is from RNAcentral.
CUCCACCACCAGCACUGUCAUUGUUACAGUGAUUCAGGUGAACCCUGUGAAAAACAGGCAGGACUCUCUGGUGACUCAGAUGGGAGGAGGAAAGCACACUGUGUAACUAGCUUGGAGCCACUGGAUAAACUUCCUCCUUUCUAUUCAUAGGCCUAGAAGGAGACUUUGACCCUCAUAAAGGCACAGCUGUCCAGAAGCUCCACCCGACCCUUCAUCUCAGGAUCCACCCAUGGGAACCAGGACCUGGCAUGAGAUGUCUCAGGAGUACCCUGCAAGAAAGGGGAGGAAGGGCUCAUCUCUGCCCUUUUCAGAUGGUGUCAGUAUUGGCUCUCACCCACCUUAAGUGAAAGAGUGAUUUCUCUUAUGGUGGUGAGAGUGGCAGGUAAUAAAAGAGAUGACAGUUACAUAGACAAGGUUAAAGGGGGGACCAUGUCAUCAGUGGAAAAUGAAAACAAAGAGGUAUUUGGUCCUUAGACGGUGUGAUAUAGAAGAAUCUGGACAGCCAGGUUUGAAUUCUAUUCUACUCCUCGAUUUCUGACUUAGAGCAGUACAGGUAAGCUCAAGGUCUUCCCUAUCAAUGUGGUGAUGAUGUCCAUCUCACUAGAACACUGUAUGAAUGGAGGGACCAUUAAUUACUACUAUGGGUAGCAUAUGUAGGUGCUACAUAGACUGCAGUAUAUGAAUCAGGGUUCUGAUAGGAAUAGAACAUAAAUCUAAUUAUAGGAGGGAAUUUUUAGAUUGGUUUACAUGAUCAUAAGGUAGACAAUCUCACAAUGGCUGCCUGUGUGCAGGAGAGCCAGGAAGCCAGAAGUUGCUCAGUCUAAGAAGCUGGGAGCUUCACAACAAGAGGGAUCAGUGAUGCAGCCUCAGUUCAAGAUUGAAGACCUGCAAGUCCUCUGGAAAGUUUCUGGUGCAAGUCAUGUUCAAAAGGUGAAGAAUAUGGAAUCAGAUAUAUGGGGGUGACAAUAGCAGCAAAAAAAAAAAUCACACCUGGUUAAGAAGAUUUGAUCGCACAUAGCUUUGCCUUUUCUCCCCCUUCCC